UACGUAGGGGGCUAGCGUUGCUCGGAAUCACUGGGCGUAAAGGGCGCGUAGGCGGCUUAUCAAGUCGGGGGUGAAAGCCCGUGGCUCAACCACGGAAUGGCCUUCGAUACUGGUAGGCUUGAGACCGGAAGAGGACAGCGGAACUGCGAGUGUAGAGGUGAAAUUCGUAGAUAUUCGCAAGAACACCAGUGGCGAAGGCGGCUGUCUGGUCCGGUUCUGACGCUGAGGCGCGAAAGCGUGGGGAGCAAACAGG
Molecule: ribosomal RNA, 253 nt
Filed under: uncultured bacterium
Lineage: Bacteria
Description: partial 16S ribosomal RNA
Rfam family: Bacterial small subunit ribosomal RNA
Source: RNAcentral